UGCGCUGGGGCGUAUUCUCGCGCUGGGUUGUCCAGACCCGCCUCCCCGGGCCCCUCCUCUUUGAAAUCUUGUUUGCUGAACCAGGUAGUCUUCCAUCGGUUUCCGUAGCUGGGAAUUGAUUUCCAAAGCACGACGAAGUCAUAGCGUCUGGACGCUUUUUAAAUUCAUGACGAAUAUUUAAUCUGAUGAAUAUUUAUUUCAAUCAAUGAUUAUUCUCACACAAUUGUGCCAAUAUUGAGUAUCAUUUAAUUUAGGAAUAUCCUGCAGUUAUUCUAGACUCCAGUUGCGAGCCACUUUUCCUUCGGAAACCAGGAGAGAACUCAGUUGAGGAUGAAAAAAAGGAAGACAGAUCCUCCAAAAGGAGCUCAACUGUCAUAAAUCCCCUCUCCAGGAGUCUCGUCAACCAGAGAAAAUCGACUCUUAUUAACCACCGGAGACUAGAAGUCACACCACACUCCGAGAGACUUUGUCACAAACAGAUCUCCCACCUAUUGUAAGGGCCCAUUCAUCUUUCAAAAAAAGUCAUUUAGGGUCGCCUGGGUGUCUCAGUCGUUAAGCGUCUGCCUUUGGCUCAGUUCAUGAUCCCAGGGCUCUGGGAUCAAGUAUCUCAGCAGGAAGCCUGCUUCUCCCUCUCCCACUCCCUCUGCUUGUGUUCCCUCUCUCGCUGUGUCUCUCUCUGUCAAAUAAAUAAAUAAAAUCUUAAAAAUCAUUUACUCUCUCCUGUGUGACAUACAUCCUCCAACCCCUUCCCCUGUUGAGAUGGUAUAAGCUCAAAUCUCAGUGCUUUUUUGGGUAUUCACUUUUUGUUCCCUGUGGUGACCCUGUGCAUGUUGUAUUAAAAACUAAUAAAUUUGUAUACC
This is a long non-coding RNA of Zalophus californianus (California sea lion), 860 nucleotides long. RefSeq lists it as uncharacterized. The transcript has 3 exons. The record is from RefSeq and is a predicted model, not a curated record. Lineage: Eukaryota; Metazoa; Chordata; Mammalia; Carnivora; Otariidae.